UACGAAGGGGGCGAGCGUUGUUCGGAAUUACUGGGCGUAAAGCGCGCGCAGGUGGUCUUUCAAGUCAGUGGUGAAAGCCCGGAGCUCAACUCCGGAAAUGCCAUUGAAACUGUAAGACUUGAGGAUGAGAGAGGUGAGUGGAAUUCCCAGUGUAGAGGUGAAAUUCGUAGAUAUUGGGAAGAACACCGGUGGCGAAGGCGGCUCACUGGCUCAUAUCUGACGCUCAGGCGCGACAGCGUGGGGAUCAAACAGG
Molecule: ribosomal RNA, 253 nt
Filed under: uncultured bacterium
Lineage: Bacteria
Description: partial 16S ribosomal RNA
Rfam family: Bacterial small subunit ribosomal RNA
Source: RNAcentral